RNAcentral lists this ribosomal RNA (490 nucleotides) under uncultured bacterium. Its description in RNAcentral is "partial 16S ribosomal RNA". It matches the Rfam family "Bacterial small subunit ribosomal RNA", at positions 28 to 507 of the family's 1533-position model. The record is from RNAcentral.
GAUGAACGCUAGCUACAGGCUUAACACAUGCAAGUCGCGGGGCAGCAUGGGGGUUGCUUGCCAUCCCCGAUGGCGACCGGCGCACGGGUGAGUAACGCGUAUCCAACCUGCCCUUCACCACGGGAUAACCCGGCGAAAGUCGGACUAAUACCGUAUGUUGUCCAUUGACGGCAUCCGCUUUGGACGAAAGGCUUGGCGGUGAGGGAUGGGGAUGCGUCCGAUUAGCCAGACGGCGGGGUAACGGCCCACCGUGGCUACGAUCGGUAGGGGUUCUGGGAGGAAGGUCCCCCACACUGGAACUGAGACACGGUCCAGACGCCUACGGGAGGCAGCAGUGAGGAAUAUUGGUCAGUGGGCGUAAGCCUGAGCCAGCCAAGUAGCGUGCAGGAUGACGGCCCUAUGGGUUGUAAACUGCUUUUAUGCGGGGAUAAAGUGGCCCACGUGUGGGCUUUUGCAGGUACCGCAUGAAUAAGGACCGGCUAAUUCCGUG